This 301-nucleotide ribosomal RNA is filed under the name uncultured bacterium. Its description in RNAcentral is "partial 16S ribosomal RNA". It matches the Rfam family "Bacterial small subunit ribosomal RNA", at positions 509 to 807 of the family's 1533-position model. The record is from RNAcentral.
CAGUAGCCACGGUAAUACGUAGGUGGCGAGCGUUGUCCGGAAUUAUUGGGCGUAAAGGGCUCGCAGGCGGUUUCUUAAGUCUGAUGUGAAAGCCCCCGGCUCAACCGGGGAGGGUCAUUGGAAACUGGGAAACUUGAGUGCAGAAGAGGAGAGUGGAAUUCCACGUGUAGCGGUGAAAUGCGUAGAGAUGUGGAGGAACACCAGUGGCGAAGGCGACUCUCUGGUCUGUAACUGACGCUGAGGAGCGAAAGCGUGGGGAGCGAACAGGAUUAGAUACCCCUGUAGUCCCUGUCUCUUAUAC